Molecule: unclassified non-coding RNA, 363 nt
Filed under: Zea mays
Lineage: Eukaryota; Viridiplantae; Streptophyta; Magnoliopsida; Poales; Poaceae
Description: misc RNA Zm00001eb014880
Source: RNAcentral
AACGAAUUGAGAGUGCAGGAGGACAUCAGCUCCAGCACGUGCAGGGCAGCACAGGUGACGGUGCCUUCAUGCUUCGUGGGAAGAGGCAUUGGGGCAACGAAUGGAGGAGCAGGCGAGGAGGUGCACACAUGGCAGAGGUGGCCCCGGAGGUUCCAAGGUGAUGCAGCUCUCCAGCCUCCCUCCACUCCGAGCAAAGCGAAAAGUGGUGCCAAAGCUUGUGUUUUUUUGCCUCCAAAGGAGCAGAGAAGGUGGCGGGGGCUUGUAAAAUGUGGCACAAUGAGCAUGAGGUGCUUUGCCCUUCGAUUUGAUAUGGACGACCAAGAUUGUGAGACUGCUACAGUUGCAGUCUCUAGCUACUGCACC